GGCGGGUUAGCGUAAUGGUUAACGCGCCAGUUUCCGGUCCAGGUUAGCUGGAGAUUCCGAGUUCGAGUCUCGGGCCUGUCG
Lyophyllum atratum is the source of this 81-nucleotide non-coding RNA. The record is from the annotation of a GenBank genome assembly. NCBI's taxonomy places the organism in Eukaryota, Fungi, Basidiomycota, Agaricomycetes, Agaricales, Lyophyllaceae.